RNAcentral lists this ribosomal RNA (468 nucleotides) under uncultured bacterium. RNAcentral describes it as "partial 16S ribosomal RNA". It matches the Rfam family "Bacterial small subunit ribosomal RNA", at positions 28 to 507 of the family's 1533-position model. The record is from RNAcentral.
GACGAACGCUGGCGGCGUGCUUAACACAUGCAAGUCGAACGGAAAGGCCCUGCUUUUGUGGGGUGCUCGAGUGGCGAACGGGUGAGUAACACGUGAGUAACCUGCCCUUGACUUUGGGAUAACUUCAGGAAACUGGGGCUCAUACCGGAUAGGAGCUCCUGCUGCAUGGUGGGGGUUGGAAAGUUUCGGCGGUUGGGGAUGGACUCGCGGCUUAUCAGCUUGUUGGUGGGGUAGUGGCUUACCAAGGCUUUGACGGGUAGGCGGCCUGAGAGGGUGACCGGCCACAUUGGGACUGAGGUACGGCCCAGACUCGUACGGGAGGCAGCAGUGGGGAAUAUUGCACAAUGGGCGGAAGCCUGAUGCAGCAACGCCGCGUGCGGGAUGACAGCUUUCGGGUUGUAAACCGCUUUCGCCUGUGACGAAGCGUGAGUGACGGUAAUGGGUAAAGAAGCACCGGCUAACUACGUG